CACUGCAUGCUUGUUUUCACUUCCAAGAAAGCAGAGUUCAAGUGUACUCUCAGACCAGAGACAGAAAUAAAUAAAACAUUAAAAAAAAAUGCAGCAUAUUCUCUAACAAGAUCCCAGCUGAA
Hyaena hyaena (striped hyena) is the source of this 122-nucleotide long non-coding RNA. RefSeq lists it as uncharacterized. The record is from RefSeq and is a predicted model, not a curated record. NCBI's taxonomy places the organism in Eukaryota, Metazoa, Chordata, Mammalia, Carnivora, Hyaenidae. The transcript is spliced from 2 exons.